This 763-nucleotide unclassified non-coding RNA is filed under the name Hevea brasiliensis (rubber tree). The record is from RNAcentral. Lineage: Eukaryota; Viridiplantae; Streptophyta; Magnoliopsida; Malpighiales; Euphorbiaceae.
CCCGUCCAAUUGACCCUUGUUAGUGUGUAGUGAGUGCAGCCUUUAGGAUCUGACAUUGAUAGGAGAGUAGGAAAAUAAUGCUCUUCUGGGUAGCAUUCAUCGGCCCUGUAACAGGGCUGCUUAAAUUUCUUCCAUAGGCUCCGAUCCUUGAUCAGAAUGAGAGCGUGCCGGCGCGUUAUAACGAAAAACUGAGACCCAACUCUGAAUUUCUCAAAGGGCACUUCUGGCAUCAAGGAAUAUCUCCCCCUAGCAACGUAACGCUUCCAUAGACGAGGUUCUUUGGAGUUAAUUUCGAUGAAACUCUUGUAUUGAACUCGAACUCCGUAUUGAGUGGACUCAGAGUCUGAUUCAGAAGACGUGAGAUCGAAAGAUUUGGAAGAGAUGAGAGAGUUAUAGACAUAGCUAAACGAAUGGAGCGGGAUACAGUACUGGGAAAGGACAGCGAAGUAAGCGUUGGCAGGAUCAUCAAGAAUAGCGGUGGCCAAGAGGCGGCGCGUGGCGGAGACCAAAGUAGGAGACGCACGGUAGGUACGUUUGGCAUGUUGAAUGAACUGGGUCUUGAAAACACCAUCUGGACGAGUGAUAUUUACAGAAGGAUCGGCAUGGACAUAGAUAUUGUAGAGAUCCUUAUUCGAUUUAAAGAACUUUUCCCACAAAGGAGCGAAGUAGAGAUCGGUGUUGGUGAGGAAAAGGAAGGCGAUUUUGAGCUUGGGGUGUUUGGAGGAGGAGAGGUGAGAGAAUGAGGAAGGGUGGGAGGAGGCCG